AGAGUUUGAUCAUGGCUCAGGAUGAACGCUAGCUACAGGCUUAACACAUGCAAGUCGAGGGGAAACGACAUCGAAAGCUUGCUUUUGAUGGGCGUCGACCGGCGCACGGGUGAGUAACGCGUAUCCAACCUGCCCAUCACUUGGGGGAUAACCUUGCGAAAGUAAGACUAAUACCCAAUGACGUCUCUAGAAGACAUACUGGAAAGAGAUUAAAGAUUUAUCGGUGAUGGAUGGGGAUGCGUCUGAUUAGCUUGUUGGCGGGGUAACGGCCCACCAAGGCGACGAUCAGUAGGGGUUCUGAGAGGAAGGUCCCCCACAUUGGAACUGAGACGACGGUCCAAACUCCUACGGGAGGCA
This 357-nucleotide ribosomal RNA is filed under the name uncultured bacterium. RNAcentral describes it as "bacterial SSU rRNA". It matches the Rfam family "Bacterial small subunit ribosomal RNA", at positions 8 to 350 of the family's 1533-position model. The record is from RNAcentral.